CGGCAAAUGAUCUAAUCCCAGUUGGAUAGGAAGGAAAGAAACUAAAAUAUUUGAGUGACACUGAUUAAAAGCUAAUAAUUGUAGCUAAAAUUUAGAGAAAUGUAGGAAAUAAUUGCGGAAAAUUAUGGGCAUAACUGUGCGGGGAAAAGGCCCUCAUUGAAAGUUGGCCCCAGUAGUUGCAAUUUCUUAAAGGUGAUCUACAGUCCGUAUGUAAACAAAGCCUUUGUUUACAUUUUCGUGUCCAAAAUAUUGAGCUUUAUUCGACAACUAUUUAUAUUUUCAAGCUUCUAGAGUAUAAU
Molecule: non-coding RNA, 299 nt
Organism: Paramuricea clavata
Lineage: Eukaryota; Metazoa; Cnidaria; Anthozoa; Malacalcyonacea; Plexauridae
Source: the annotation of a GenBank genome assembly